GCCCGGGUGGUGGAAUGGUAGACACGAUGGUCUCAAACACCAUUGUCUUCACGGACAUGUCGGUUCGAGUCCGACCCCGGGUA
This 83-nucleotide transfer RNA is filed under the name Flavobacteriales bacterium. Its description in RNAcentral is "tRNA-Leu". It matches the Rfam family "tRNA". Rfam says of the family: Transfer RNA (tRNA) molecules are approximately 80 nucleotides in length. The record is from RNAcentral. Lineage: Bacteria; Pseudomonadati; Bacteroidota; Flavobacteriia; Flavobacteriales.